AAAAUUGUAUAAUUAUAAAAUCAGAGUAGUAUUAGUUAAGAUCUUGAAACUUAAAAAAUUUGGCGGUAUUUUAGUCUAUUUAGAGGAACCUGUAGUAUAAUCGAUAAUCCACGAUGGACCUCACUUAAUUUUGUUUUUCAGUUUGUAUACCGCUGUUAUUUGAAAAUUUUAUAAGAAAAAUAAUUUUCAUAAUUUUAUAUAAAAAAGUAAAUCAGGUCAAGGUGCAGCUUAUAAUUAAGUAUUUAUGGGUUACAAUAAAAUUAUUUAAAUGGAUUUAAACGUGAAAAUUGUUUUUUGAAAGUGGAUUUAAUAGUAAAUUUUUAAAGAUAAAAGAAUUGAUU
RNAcentral lists this ribosomal RNA (341 nucleotides) under Poecilobothrus regalis. RNAcentral's name for it is "partial 12S ribosomal RNA". The record is from RNAcentral. Lineage: Eukaryota; Metazoa; Arthropoda; Insecta; Diptera; Dolichopodidae.